UACGUAGGGUGCAAGCGUUGUCCGGAAUUAUUGGGCGUAAAGAGCUCGUAGGCGGUUCGUCGCGUCGGCUGUGAAAACCUGAGGCUCAACCUCAGGCCUGCAGUCGAUACGGGCGGACUUGAGUACUGCAGGGGAGACUGGAAGUUCCUGGUGUAGCGGUGAAAUGCGCAGAUAUCAGGAGGAACACCGGUGGCGAAGGCGGGUCUCUGGGCCGGAGUACUGACGUGGAGGAGCGAAAGCGUGGGGAGCGAACAGG
RNAcentral lists this ribosomal RNA (256 nucleotides) under uncultured bacterium. RNAcentral describes it as "partial 16S ribosomal RNA". It matches the Rfam family "Bacterial small subunit ribosomal RNA", at positions 524 to 776 of the family's 1533-position model. The record is from RNAcentral.